GGGGACGAUUCAGUUUCGAUUGGGCGUGCCUUGCAGGAUAUAAGCAUACCGAAGGUUCGGCUUCGUAAAAACGAAAAAUUAAAUUUAAAUGCUAACAACAAUCAAGAAUUAGCAUACGCUGCUUAAUCAAGCGUACGUCCUUUCGCUUUUUUCCCGUCGGAAGCGAUAAGGGCGUCAGUCAGACGGGGAACGGCGUUUUCGUUUCGGCUGCGGCGAAAACGCGGCAUUCAGCCGCUAUGAAAAAGAUUUAGGUCGCCGACGACCGUUUCUUUUUCGAGAUUAACCGUCGGAUAUGUAUGUAGAAAAUUUUGCAGGGGCGUUCAAGACCGGAGUGCAACUCUCCGCGUCUCCACCA
Molecule: transfer-messenger RNA, 355 nt
Filed under: Clostridiales bacterium
Lineage: Bacteria; Bacillati; Bacillota; Clostridia; Eubacteriales
Also listed under: 1 other name
Rfam family: transfer-messenger RNA
About the family: Bacterial tmRNA, also known as 10Sa RNA or SsrA, is named for its dual tRNA and mRNA-like properties.
Source: RNAcentral